This 269-nucleotide unclassified non-coding RNA is filed under the name Hevea brasiliensis (rubber tree). Lineage: Eukaryota; Viridiplantae; Streptophyta; Magnoliopsida; Malpighiales; Euphorbiaceae. The record is from RNAcentral.
CAUACUUCCAGACGAUCUUCUGUUCGUCCUUGAGAUUGAGCGCGUAGACGAUAUUCGGGAACGGCGUGUGGAUGUACAUCAUGUCGCCGAUGAUGAGCGGUCCGCCUUCAUGGCCACGCAGNNNNNNNNNNACGUCCACGCAACCUGCAAUUUGCCGACAUUGUCGGACGUGAUCUGCUUGAGUUGCGAGAAACGAUGAUUGGCAUAGUUGCCAGUAGGCAUGACCCAAUCUUUUGGGUUCUGCUGCAUUUUCAGCAACUCGUCGUUAG